This 497-nucleotide ribosomal RNA is filed under the name uncultured bacterium. RNAcentral's name for it is "partial 16S ribosomal RNA". It matches the Rfam family "Bacterial small subunit ribosomal RNA", at positions 28 to 507 of the family's 1533-position model. The record is from RNAcentral.
GAUGAACGCUGGCGGCGUGCCUAAUACAUGCAAGUCGAGCGAACGGACGAGAAGCUUGCUUCUCUGAUGUUAGCGGCGGACGGGUGAGUAACACGUGGAUAACCUACCUAUAAGACUGGGAUAACUUCGGGAAACCGGAGCUAAUACCGGAUAAUAUUUUGAACCGCAUGGUUCAAAAGUGAAAGAUGGUCUUGCUGUCACUUGUAGAUGGAUCCGCGCUGCAUUAGCUAGUUGGUAAGGUAACGGCUUACCAAGGCAACGAUGCAUAGCCGACCUGAGAGGGUGAUCGGCCACACUGGAACUGAGACACGGUCCAGACUCCUACGGGAGGCAGCAGUAGGGAAUCUUCCGCAAUGGGCGAAAGCCUGACGGAGCAACGCCGCGUGAGUGAUGAAGGUCUUCGGAUCGUAAAACUCUGUUAUUAGGGAAGAACAUAUGUGUAAGUAACUGUGCACAUCUUGACGGUACCUAAUCAGAAAGCCACGGCUAACUACGUG